UACGUAGGGUGCGAGCGUUAAUCGGAAUUACUGGGCGUAAAGCGUGCGCAGGCGGUUGUGCAAGACAGAUGUGAAAUCCCCGGGCUUAACCUGGGAACUGCAUUUGUGACUGCACGGCUGGAGUGCGGCAGAGGGGGAUGGAAUUCCGCGUGUAGCAGUGAAAUGCGUAGAUAUCAGGAGGAAUACCGAUGGCGAAGGCAGGUCUCUGGGCUGACACUGACGCUCAUGCACGAAAGCGUGGGGAGCAAACAGG
RNAcentral lists this ribosomal RNA (253 nucleotides) under uncultured bacterium. RNAcentral describes it as "partial 16S ribosomal RNA". It matches the Rfam family "Bacterial small subunit ribosomal RNA", at positions 524 to 776 of the family's 1533-position model. The record is from RNAcentral.